This 112-nucleotide ribosomal RNA is filed under the name Caerostris darwini. Lineage: Eukaryota; Metazoa; Arthropoda; Arachnida; Araneae; Araneidae. The record is from RNAcentral.
UGCGGCCGUACCAUGCUGAAUAUACCGGUUCUCGUUAGAUCACCGAAGUCAAGCAUCAUUGGGCGCGGUCAGUACUUGGGAGGGUGACCACCUGGGAACACCGCGUGCCGUU